CCCAGACUCCUACGGGAGGCAGCAGUGGGGAAUAUUGCACAAUGGGGGGAACCCUGAUGCAGCGACGCCGCGUGGGCGAGGAAGUAUUUCGGUAUGUAAAGCCCUAUCGGCAGGGAAGAAGAAAUGACGGUACCUGAAUAAGAAGCCCCGGCCAACUACGUGCCAGCAGCCGCGGUACUACGUAGGGGGCAAGCGUUAUCCGGAUUUACUGGGUGUAAAGGGAGCGUAGACGGCAGUGCAAGGCCGGAGUGAAAGCCCGGGGCUCAACCCUGGGACUGCUCUUGGAACUGCGUGGCUGGAGUGCAGGAGGGGCAGGCGGAAUUCCUGGUGUAGCGGUGAAAUGCGUAGAUAUCAGGAGGAACACCGGUGGCGAAGGCGGCCUACUGGACUGCAACUGACGUUGAGGCCCGAAAGCGUGGGGAGCAAACAGGAUUAGAUACCCUGGUACA
This 449-nucleotide ribosomal RNA is filed under the name uncultured bacterium. Its description in RNAcentral is "partial 16S ribosomal RNA". It matches the Rfam family "Bacterial small subunit ribosomal RNA", at positions 330 to 794 of the family's 1533-position model. The record is from RNAcentral.